Molecule: ribosomal RNA, 935 nt
Filed under: Calisoga sp. A DHL-215
Lineage: Eukaryota; Metazoa; Arthropoda; Arachnida; Araneae; Nemesiidae
Description: partial 12S ribosomal RNA
Source: RNAcentral
UUGUUUAAUCGAUGAUACACGAUAGUUUUAACUCAGACCUAAUUUUUAUACCUCCGUCCAAAGGGUAAAAUUAAAUAUUUUAUUCAACCCUUACCCUUCCAAGUAACAAUGUCAGGUCAAGGUGAAGUUAAUGUUUGAGUAUCAAUGAGUUAUCAAUAAAUAUAAUUUAUGGACUUUUGCUUAAAAUCAAAAAUCGAAUUAAGAUUUAAAAGUAUUUUCAACUCAAUACACUGAAAAGAAUAAGCAAAAAAGGUGUACAUAUCGCCCGUCGCCCUCGUCCAAAGAUGAGGUAAGUCGUAACACAGUUAAUAUACUGGAAAGUGUAUUAAGCGUACCACCUCUUAGCUUUUAGUAUUUCACUUACACUGAAAAGAUGACAUUUUCUUCAACUCCAAUUUUAUUUAUAAAGUUUUCGCACUGUUAUUUAUCUAAUUUGGCACCUAAAAAACUGAAAAGGAAUAUCAUGAAAUAAUUAAAGUAAAUUUAUGUACCUUUUGUAUCAGGGAUUUUCAAACCAUUAUGUAAAUUUCAACCUCCCGAAACAAAACGAACUUCGCAACCUAGUAAAAGUUGUGGCAUAAACAAUAUAAACUUUGCGAAGUUGAGAUAUUCUUCUCAAGUCCUCCUUUAUCUGGUUCACUUCACCUCCUUUCUCUAUAUUGUGCUAAGAACAAACUUAGCACCAAAGUUUAUUACUUUUCUUCAUCCUAAUCUAGAUUUAAUAGUACCCAUAUUGUUUUUAAACUCUCUUCCCUUUCAUCCCCAAACUUACUCCCAAGUGGCUUAUUUCACCACCUCCACAAUGAAAAUAUUAGUAAAAUUUGUCCUUUUCUUCAUCUUUUAAACCCCUCCCUUUUCAUAUAUUUACAUUAAAGUUAUGAACUAGGCCCUUAAUCAAUUGACUGUUUAUCAAAAACAUAGCUAAUAGGUCCCAA